GUUCUUGGUCUCACUGACUUCAAGAAUGAAGCCACGGACCCUCGCGGCUGGAGUGCAGUGACAUGAUCUCAGCUCAUUGCAGCCUCAACCUCCCAGGCACAAGCGAUCCUCCUGCCUCAGCCUCCUGAGUAGCUGGGAUACAGACGGUGACUCAAUCUGCCCAGGCUGGAGUGCGGUGACCUGAACACAGCUCACUGAAGCCUUGACUUCCCGGGUUCAAGCAAUUCUCCUGCCUCAGCCUCCCAAGGAGCUGGGACCACAGGUGUGUGCCACCACAUCUGGCUAAUUGUUUUUUAUUUUUGGUAGAGAGAGGUCUCACUAUGUUGUCAAGGCUGAUGUCGAACUCCUGAGCUCAAGUGAUCCUCCUGCCUCAGCCUCCCAAAGUGCUGGGAUUACAGGCAUGAGACACAGCGCCCGACUCACACACUUUUAAAUUUUGUUCUCCGCCUGAUAUUUAGCUUUACGGCAUAGAAGAAAUGGUUUAACCCCCUUAGCGACAUGGCAGCUCUAUGCCCUUUAUUGUUCUACUGCUAAAGGUCUUUGGGUUUCUGUUUCUCCUUUUUUUUUUCUUUUUAAGAAAUGAAAUUAUUUUCUUUUACCUACGUAAAAAGAGUAUACCUUGGCGGAGAGCGUGGCACGGCUCUACGCACCCCUCCCUGCCUGCCCAGCGCCUUCCACGCGGGAAACUCCCCGCCGGUCUCAGCUCCACCCCGCGCUGCCCCGCCGGCUCGGCAGCACUCGCAGCCGGCGAUCCGCUGGUGCAGCUCCACGAUCCGCCUGCCCAUCCGCGCCGCCUCCGCGGCCUUCCUCUCCGCCUCGGCGCACAGCCUGGCCACCAGAUCCUCCGCCUCCGCGCGCGGGCUGGGUGCUGGGGCCCGGGCGCCCUGCUCCUCCGCCUCCAUCUCGCUCUUGAUGGCGUCGAGCAGGCUCUGGAUCUCCAGCAGCUCCCUGCGGGCCCGCUAGUGCGCCCGGGCACGCUCGCACUCCAGGGAGGCCAGGUCCUCGCCGCCCACGCGGGGCGCCGGGCCACCUGGGUCUUUGCGGGCUCUCGCCUGGUCCGUGUCCACGUCAGGCAGGAGAACAGGGUCUGGAGGUAGGGAACUUAAGGCAGAUUCCUGCUGACUUCCUAAAGCUGAAUCAAGGGAAAACACCAAGGUCUGGGGCAGAGAAUCUGAGGCUGAUUAACUCAAACUUCCCAAACCAAAAGGAAAAGCACCAUCUCCCCAUUGGGAGUAGUAAAGCAUCAAAGGCUACUCUCCCUACAAGCCUCCUCCCAGAUGGAAAGGGAGCGUGCCUUGGAGUGGCCAAGAGCCAUGCAGGGACCGUCCCUUCAUCCGCAUAGGGCGCCAGUUCACCCCAGCCUUUAGCCACAAACCAAAACCUUCAUCCACAUAAGAGGUAGCUGGUAAGAACCUCAAAUGAAGUACUUAAAGCCCAGAAAACUUUCUAACUGGCCCUUGAGCUGCUUGCUCGGGCCCGCUCCCACCCUGUGGGUGCUUUCUCGCUUUAAGAAAUUGCUGCUUUCCCUGCUUCUGUUCCUGCGUUUCAUUCCUUUGUUACUUUGUUUGUGCGUUUUGUUCAAUGCUUUGUUCAAAAGGCCAAGGACC
Long non-coding RNA from Homo sapiens (human), 1607 nucleotides. Ensembl annotates it as long intergenic non-protein coding RNA 2482. Lineage: Eukaryota; Metazoa; Chordata; Mammalia; Primates; Hominidae. The record is from Ensembl.